GGAAAAUAGAGAAACAUCCUUCUCCAUUGUCAAGUGACAAGCGAUGGUACCCAGGCUGCUGACUCUUCAAUCCUGCAAAUCUUGAAACAAAGACUUCCCUGUCCUCUCGGCUUGUCACCUGUAGGCAUGAAGAUGUCAGCUCCCUGGCCAACCACCAGGUGCCGGGACCUCAGGAGGUUUCCAGAAUGAAGGAAUCUGUGUCUAUGUCUGCUGUCCAGGCCUGCAGCGAAGUGGUGACCAGUGGAGAGGCCAGGUGGUGUAGGGGCUGCACCCAGCUUGCUGCUCGGUAUAAAAUGGAAAUUUGGA
This 306-nucleotide long non-coding RNA is filed under the name Rattus norvegicus (Norway rat). RNAcentral's name for it is "long non-coding RNA NONRATT027606". The record is from RNAcentral. Lineage: Eukaryota; Metazoa; Chordata; Mammalia; Rodentia; Muridae.